RNAcentral lists this transfer RNA (72 nucleotides) under Camelus bactrianus (Bactrian camel). It matches the Rfam family "tRNA". From Rfam's summary of the family: Transfer RNA (tRNA) molecules are approximately 80 nucleotides in length. Their secondary structure includes four short double-helical elements and three loops (D, anti-codon, and T loops). Further hydrogen bonds mediate the characteristic L-shaped molecular structure. tRNAs have two regions of fundamental functional importance: the anti-codon, which is responsible for specific mRNA codon recognition, and the 3' end, to which the tRNAs corresponding amino acid is attached (by aminoacyl-tRNA synthetases). tRNAs cope with the degeneracy of the genetic code in two manners: having more than one tRNA (with a specific anti-codon) for a particular amino acid; and 'wobble' base-pairing, i.e. permitting non-standard base-pairing at the 3rd anti-codon position. Lineage: Eukaryota; Metazoa; Chordata; Mammalia; Artiodactyla; Camelidae. RNAcentral also lists the same sequence under 1 other name. The record is from Rfam by way of RNAcentral.
UGGGUAAUAGCUCAGGGAUACAGCACAUGCUUAGCAGGCAUGAGUUCCUGGGUUCAAUCCCCAGUCCCUCCA